GACGAACGCUGGCGGCGUGCUUAACACAUGCAAGUCGAACGGUAAGGCCCUUCGGGGUACACGAGUGGCGAACGGGUGAGUAACACGUGGGUGAUCUGCCCUGCACUUCGGGAUAAGCCUGGGAAACUGGGUCUAAUACCGGAUAGGACUCCUGGCUUCAUGGUUGGGGGUGGAAAGCUUUUGCGGUGUGGGAUGGGCCCGCGGCCUAUCAGCUUGUUGGUGGGGUAAUGGCCUACCAAGGCGACGACGGGUAGCCGGCCGGAGAGGGUGACCGGUCACACUGGGACUGAGAUACGGCCCAGACUCCUACGGGAGGCAGCAGUGGGGAAUAUUGCACAAUGGGCGCAAGCCUGAUGCAGCGACGCGGCGUGAGGGAUGACGGCCUUCGGGUUGUAAACCUCAUUCGGCUAUGACGAAGCGCAAGUGACGGUAGUAGCAGAAGAAGGACCGGCCAACUACGUGCCAGCAGCCGCCGUAA
Molecule: ribosomal RNA, 478 nt
Filed under: uncultured bacterium
Lineage: Bacteria
Description: partial 16S ribosomal RNA
Rfam family: Bacterial small subunit ribosomal RNA
Source: RNAcentral